RNAcentral lists this ribosomal RNA (301 nucleotides) under uncultured bacterium. Its description in RNAcentral is "partial 16S ribosomal RNA". It matches the Rfam family "Bacterial small subunit ribosomal RNA", at positions 509 to 807 of the family's 1533-position model. The record is from RNAcentral.
CAGCCGCCACGGGAAUACGUAGGGUGCGAGCGUUAAUCGGAAUUACUGGGCGUAAAGCGUGCGCAGGCGGUUGUGUAAGACAGGUGUGAAAUCCCCGGGCUUAACCUGGGAACUGCGCUUGUGACUGCACAGCUAGAGUAUGGCAGAGGGGGGUGGAAUUCCACGUGUAGCAGUGAAAUGCGUAGAUAUGCGGAGGAACACCGAUGGCGAAGGCAAUCCCCUGGGCCUGCACUGACGCUCAUGCACGAAAGCGUGGGGAGCAAACAGGAUUAGAUACCCCCGUAGUCCCUGUCUCUUAUAC